RNA transcript from Podarcis raffonei (Aeolian wall lizard), 4846 nucleotides. It is a transcript of the gene named Zic family member 4, with no coding region annotated. The transcript is spliced from 4 exons. Lineage: Eukaryota; Metazoa; Chordata; Lepidosauria; Squamata; Lacertidae. The record is from RefSeq and is a predicted model, not a curated record.
AGAGAGAGGGAGGGGAAAAACCUUUUUUCUUUGCGGGGGGGGGGACUUUCAAAAAAGUUUUUCCACCGCUCUUUCCCUCUUCCUCUUUCUCCCUCGCUCCCCCCUCCUCGGCGUCAGGUGACUUUUUAGAAUUGUAGUAGAACCAGGAGAGCUUGGAGGCUUUGGGGGAGCCCAGUAAUGGACUCUGCUUCACUCUCCAAACGGAACACGGCGCUGAAAUUACUAGGCUUGGCAGGGGCUCCUCGUCAUCGUCAUCACCGCCACCAUCACCACUCCCCUCAGAGCAUGACAGGCUUCGCCGGGCAUCCCCACUCCAUGGUUCCCACGCACCCUGGGGAGUACGCUGCAGAAAGCCGCCUCGGGCUGAGUCCAUUCCGGUCAGAACACAUGGGGCACCACCACCAUCCUCUCCAUCAUCAUCAUCAUCACCACCGCCACCACUCUCAUCCUCCUCAUCACUCAGCGGCCCUUAAGCUCAGCCCUGCCCCUCAGCCUCAUCCCCACCAUCCUGUGACAGGCCAAGCCGAGGUGGUACCCAGUCCAGCAGGAGCAUUUGGCCCGGCGCAGUCAACAACAGUCCCUUACGCAGUCCCUCACCCAAGUCAUGCUCUUUCAUCAGGUAGGGAAUUCUUCCUGCGCAGAGAUCUGACAGCCCCAGUCAUGCCAGGGCUCCCUUAUCAACACUCUGCUGCUACAGGUUCUCACCAUGGAAUGUUUGUCUCAACAACAGGUAGCUACCCCGGACACCAUGCUCACCACCACCACCACCUCCACCACCACCACUCAGAAGCCGGAACUCCCUCGCUUUUUACUGGACUCCACCAUGAGCAACCUCCCCAUGCAGCUCCAGGUGGCCAUCUAAACGGACAGAUAAGGCUGGGGCUACCUGGAGAAAUGUAUGCCAGGUCUGAACCUUUCACGCCAGUACCAGUCUCCAGGACAGAUCCUUUUGCUGCUUCCUCCUUCCACGGCUACGGUGGCAUGAACCUGAACGUGAAUUUAGCUCCACACCACGGCCCUGGGGCUUUCUUCCGCUACAUGAGGCAGCCCAUCAAGCAGGAGCUCAUCUGCAAGUGGAUCGAACUGGACCAGACUCCCAAAAAAUUAUGCUCGAAAACUUUCAGCACCAUGCACGAGCUGGUGACUCAUGUCACCGUGGAGCACGUUGGAGGGCCGGAGCAGUCCAAUCACAUUUGCUUCUGGGAAGAGUGUCCCAGAGAAGGGAAGCCUUUCAAGGCCAAAUACAAACUGGUCAACCACAUCCGAGUCCACACGGGGGAGAAACCUUUCCCGUGCCCUUUCCCGGGAUGCGGGAAAGUCUUCGCUCGCUCGGAAAAUCUCAAAAUCCACAAAAGGACGCACACAGGCGAGAAGCCCUUCAAAUGCGAGUUCGAGGGCUGCGAGCGCCGCUUCGCCAACAGCAGCGACAGGAAGAAGCAUUCCCACGUGCACACGAGCGACAAGCCCUACAACUGCAAAGUGCGAGGCUGUGACAAGUCCUACACGCACCCCAGCUCCUUGCGGAAGCACAUGAAAGUCCACUGCAAGUCCCCACCUCCCAGCUCGGGCUACGAGUCGUCCACCCCGUCGCUGGUGUCGCCGUCGUCGGACUGCGGCCGGGAGCCCCCUCAGCCGCCGCCGCCACCGCCGCCGCCACCGCCUCCCGCAGCGGCUUCCUCCACCCAGGCGGCAGCCAACCUGAGCGAAUGGUACGUGUGUCAGAGCUCAGGGGCCAGCGGCAUCCCGACUCCACCCAGUAACUCUCCGUCACCUCACCCGGGAGAGGCCGCUUACACGAACUGCGAGCCCCGGCCCACUUAUUAAAGUCAAUACGAUGUCUAUCCCGUUGCUCUCAAGGUAAUCUAGACAGAGGCAGCUGAAAAGCCCCGCAUCUUAUGCCUUAGACAUCAAAGCAGUCUCUCACAAUGAAAGUAUUUCUUCGCAACGGUGAAUCUUCAUGGGUCUAGCUCCUUGCUGAAUGCUGCGGCUUUAAGUUGCUUUUUGACACUAUUUCCUUCUUUGUAAACACACACAGUCACAUCCACACACACACACUGCUGAAGAUAGAGACUGAACUAGAAAGGGAUGCCAUUUCCAGAACAAAGACUGAGGAAUCUUCUGAAUUUCUUGACUCUUUCACGGAAACAAACAAGGACUAGAUCCUAGGUGUGUGGCAAAAACCAUGUCCCAAGAAAUUAGGGUUUAAUGCCUUCCAGGGCUACAGAACUUGACACUCCCAAGUCUGAGGCCACGGGCGAUGGGCCAUGGUCCCGGGAAAGUUAGAAGUCCAUGUUCCAGUAAUUGUCUUCUUGUUUAUUUUAUCCAAGUACCCCAGUGAAUAGGGGAAAAAUAAACACGCCGAACAAAAAAAAAAAUUCAAACAGUCGAGUCGUCUUUAGUGCUAGCCCUUGUGGCUGAAUAAAAAAGGAUGGUCCAAUUUCUAUUGAGCUGAAAAAUCUUUGAAGUGGGAGUUAUUAUCUGAGAAAUUCCUCCUUGUCGCCCUAACAACGCUGAUGAAACGUAAAAAGGUUCUUUGUCAGCGAUUUGUUCUCCCCUCUGUCAAACUCCCUCUGCCCCGUUAGCUGGGACCGUUUCUAAAGAGAUGGAACCAAACUUCUUAAAAGAUAACGUUGGGAUGGAGACAGAAAAUGUCCCAGUAUACAAUCAGAUACAUACAUCUACCUACGUCUGUCUGCCUAUGUCUGUCUCUCUGUAGGUGGAGGGGGGCGUGUAGCUCUAGGGUGGGGAGGGUGGGAGGGGGAAACGAGAGGGGGGUGGAGAACGAGAGCGAGAGAGGAUCCCUUCUGCUUUCCGAACUUCUCAGCCCCAGAGGAACUGCCCGACUGGAUCUUCUAUUCCGAACUCAUUUGCUUGAAUUCUGCCCAAGCCUUUGUUCUUUGCACAAAACCCAACUUCCUACGAACGCCAUCCAUGAACACCAAGUCUGUAGCUGCUGAACCUCGCUACCCUCUCAUUAUCCCAGUAUAAAGAAUGCAACAGCUCGUACAUGCCUUUAUUGCAGGCUCGGCUCGUGUUAAUGCUGAGACUACCUAUUAAAAAGCACGUUUCUCUACUGCAGUGCACUAAAAUGGUUACGCCUUCAAAGCGAUGGCUUCCAUAUGUCUCAAUGUUUUAUUGUCAGCGAGUGGAAAGAAAAGUAACAGCAUUCCACUCACUCCGCAACUUGGUACUCUCAACUGGGAGGAAAAAACAACAACACCAAACUCAAGAGUCCAUAGAUGUCUUUGGGAAUGAGAUAGUGGCUUGGAGAAUACACUGCUCACCAGUUUAGCAUUUCUGCCACACUGGUAGUUUUGGGUCCCCAUGAAAUGGUAGCAUCGUUGUUGGGCCCUCUUUUGUCGCAGCCAAGUGCCGAGUGUAAACUAUUGGCAGUGAUCCCAGUAAGUUUUUGUUGGCUCAGAGGCUGAGGAAAGAAGAGUGGUUUAACUGGUGCCUGUUUAUUGGAAGAUACUGGGCCUUGCAAUAUGGAGGCAGUCUUAGGAAGUGUAAUUCGCAGGCACCCUGUCCAUACCUCAGUUAGCAGAAGGAUUUGUCGUUUAAACCAAUUGUACAUCAUCAGUUCCAAUCCAUAUGUGAAAUAAGUCCUAGUGAAAUAAAUAAUAAUGACUUCUAUGUAUCGUGUUUAGUUUUGAAAUGUUUCCAGCGGGACUCUGUGGUCCUAAACAAUUUCUGAAGUAAUAAGCUUCUUUGAAAUAAAUGAGAUUCAUCUUAAAUUUAGGCAUUUAUUCAGGAUUGAGGCUUAAAUAGCACUUGCCUUAAUCAGAAUGAAAAAUAUAGGCAGAAGAAGAAACACAACGCAACGCCCGCCCACCCACACCAUAGUAUUAGGGCAAUGCUUUUAUUAGGCCAACAAAAAUGUCACAAAAUAGUGAGAAAGUUUUUGAGAUCUCCAAAACUUGAGACUUUAGCAAAACGGAGUGGAGGGGGGGGGGGAGAGAAAACUCGUGGCGUUGGUAUCAUUCUUAAAAGGGGGUGUGAGAAAAGAUAGCGGAGUAAGGAUGACUCCCAAUGAAGCUUUCAUAGGAGUAAGCCCCAUUGAAAACAGUGGGGCUUGCGGGUAAACGAGGAUUGAGCUGUAAGGCUGCAAUGAGAUACACAGUUACCCGGGAGUAAAUGUAAAUCCCAUUGAACUCAGUGUCACUUACUUCUGCAUAGAUGGUACAGGUUUUAAAAAAAGGGGGGGGAGAGGUUCUCCUAGGAACUUUCCAAAUUUCAGGUUACAUCUUCUAGGAUGAUUAAGAAAACACACAAUGGAUGAUUCCUCACCAUUGAAUACAGGAACUUCAGUAUAUAAGGGUAUCUCAUUUUUUAAAAAACUGAUUUCAAAAUCAUGUGUCGCUUACAAGGAAGAUUAUAAUCCAAAUUCAGUUUCCAAUCUACCAAUAGAUGCAGUUUUCCCCCAGGGGUUUAAUGUUUCUUUAUUUGAAAAGGAUAUUUGUACAAAUUCUGCGUAGUGUUAUUGUAUCUUUAAAUAUUUACGAAGCUUCGGUGCUUCUUUUUAUAAAGAUGAAUUAAAAUGUUUUAUUUUUCGCCCUACCGUGCUAUUUCCGAAAGGUGUUUUUUUUUAACAAGCCCCUCCUAUCACUUGUACACUAAACAGCAAAAGGAAAAAUCAAUUCUACGCAGCAACCAUGUAUAAUUUGGGUCGGUUUCUAAUGCGAUGUAAUGGGAAUUAUUGUUGUUGGAAUAUUAUGGACAUGUUAUGGAUUUUUAAAUAAAUAAAAAAACGAAUAUUGAAUGAAAACAUCAUUGCUAUCUGAAAACUCAGUCUUAUGGAGAAAUAAUUUGUACUUUUAAAAUAAAGCCCUCCAUGAGAAAUAUAAAA